AAAGAAUCAAUCCAGUAAUCACCAAGCAUUUCUUAAGUACUAGAAGGCUCCAGGCACUGUGCUAUGUGCUUGAGAUGGAAAGACAGAUGCGCCCUCCUGCCCUCAGGGAGCUUCCAUUCUAAGAGGAGAGACAAUCUCUAUGCAUGUAGGUGGGGGGAGGACCUGUAGGGCUUUCUGCAGAAGGUGGCGCUCAAGGGAAUUCUUGAAGAAAAUGAAGGGUUACAGGAGACAGAGCUGAAGAGGAAAUGCAUCCCAAGCGUAGGGGUCAGCCAAUGCAAAGGCAAAGAGGUGGGAGAUUCAAUACUAUCAACUGAGCAACAAGCAUUGAUUAAGCGCCUAUGGUUUAUGACUCAGUUCUGGGUAUGCAAAGAGAAAAGGAGAUUACAGUCUAAUAGGAUUCUCACAAUGCCCUGGAUAAAGAACAUCAGGAAACUAGAAGAGCAUUUACCUGGACCAGAGUUCGUGGAGGAAGGAGUGUGUGAAGAGCUUUAGGUCUCAGGAUUUAGAUUGUAUCUUGGAUGGAAAAGGAAGCCACCACGGUUUACUGAGCAUCGCACAGGGCGUCCUUCUUUCUGCCACCUCCACUGCAGACUCUGUCCUCCCCUGCCGUCCCACAGUCGCCUUGCCUGGGGCUCUGCUGGAGGCAGCCACUUGUCAAACUGGACCAACGUAAGAGAAGGGUUGAGUGUGUUCAAGGAGCACACCCAGUCUGGCCUCAGACUCUCCUCCCCAUCCACUCUGAAUUUUCCUUGUGUGUGUGAGCCCCAGAGCCGUCAGGAACUCACCAAGAGGCUGCAGGAGAGAGGACAGCGGCCUUGGCUCCCAGCUCAGUCACUGCGGCCACGGAACCUGGAUGUUGGAUUCACAGGUGUGGCUCGGUGUCAAGAGGGAAGGUGGAUGCAGGAGUAAUUUUGCUAGAUCUGCUCUGUCUAAUUCCUGAAGCGGCGAUUCAAAAGAAGUUGCCGAUUAUCCAAGUUUCAAGCCCAGAAUAUUUGCUCAGUGGCUCAGCAUCUGUCUGGAGACAAAAAAGGUAAAGUAGAAUGAGUUUGUCCCUUCUCUGCCAACUCCUGCACCAGCUGUGAUAUC
Molecule: long non-coding RNA, 1086 nt
Filed under: Phascolarctos cinereus (koala)
Lineage: Eukaryota; Metazoa; Chordata; Mammalia; Diprotodontia; Phascolarctidae
Description: lncRNA (ENSPCIG00000036318.1)
Source: RNAcentral